UGGGGAAUAUUGCACAAUGGAGGGAACUCUGAUGCAGCGACGCCGCGUGAACGAAGAAGGCUUUCGAGUCGUAAAGUUCUUUUAUAUGGGAAGAUAAUGACGGUACCAUAAGAAAAAGCCCCGGCUAACUACGUGCCAGCAGCCGCGGUAAUACGUAGGGGGCUAGCGUUGUCCGGAAUCACUGGGCGUAAAGGGCGUGUAGGCGGCUAGAUAAGUGUGAUGUUUAAAUCCAAGGCUUAACCUUGGGGUUCAUUACAAACUGUUUAGCUUGAGUGCUGGAGAGGAUAGUGGAAUUCCUAGUGUAGCGGUAAAAUGCGUAGAUAUUAGGAGGAACACCGGUGGCGAAGGCGGCUAUCUGGACAGUAACUGACGCUGAGGAACGAAAGCGUGGGUAGCAAACAGG
This 403-nucleotide ribosomal RNA is filed under the name Verrucomicrobiota bacterium. RNAcentral describes it as "Verrucomicrobia bacterium partial 16S ribosomal RNA". It matches the Rfam family "Bacterial small subunit ribosomal RNA", at positions 355 to 776 of the family's 1533-position model. Lineage: Bacteria; Pseudomonadati; Verrucomicrobiota. The record is from RNAcentral.